Long non-coding RNA from Anolis carolinensis (green anole), 2654 nucleotides. RefSeq lists it as uncharacterized. Lineage: Eukaryota; Metazoa; Chordata; Lepidosauria; Squamata; Anolidae. The record is from RefSeq and is a predicted model, not a curated record. The transcript has 2 exons.
GGCUUGUUUUAAACUAAACGGGUUCAGGAUUCCUCAGGGGGCUUACAACAUGUAUCCAUAUUCAUAUUUACUCAAAAAUAUACCCUCAAUACUUUCUCUUCGUUUUAAUUGUGCAAAAGAUUGUAUAGGCCAGGCCCAACAUCCUUACCAACUGCAAUCCCCAUUUAUUUUCAUCUACUUAUUAUCAAGUUAGCAGGUUUAACAUUACUAAUAAUAAUAUAAAUAAGAUUUGUCUUAGUAACCUUGAGGAAGGUGAGGAACUUCUACCUUGGUCCAUAUAUCAAACAGACAAUGUACUGGGAAUCUCACAUCAGAACAACAUAUAUUAUGUGUGGCCAAGACCCAAAAUUAACAUAUACAACAGCUCUGUAUUUAAGCAAAACAAUACAAUUGAAAACCACGUAUGUGGGGCUGAUUGGGGUAAAUUGUAGGGAUGAUAAGGAAACAUUAUGCAUAUAUUCAGUUUUAUUAUAUUUAUUUACUGUAUUCUUAUAAGUGUCUUAUUUUAACUUACUACAUAGAGUGUAAUCAAGUCCUAUCAAGCCUUGUUGUUUGGUUUGGUAUUGUGAUAUGGCCUAAGGGCUAAUCAAUAAAAAUAUUAUUCUAUAAUUAUCCAAGAAUUUGAUAGAAAAAACUCACAUUUUCAAGGAUUCCCCCCUUAUUCUCUACAUCAAAAUCCAAUAUUUGUUGCUUUUUGUAGGAGGAAAGACAAAAUGGAGGUGGGUCUGGUAAAAUGUCAUCCCAUACAGCAGGCAUUGUUCUCCUAUAGUAUAUUACACAAUACAGAACUGGAGUUAGUAUUAAGUAGUCCUGUUUGCCCAGUCGCUUUCCACUUUCUAUCCUUUAGAAAAACAUACCAUGUUGUCCAAAUAUUUUAUUUAUAGAGCAGGCAAUAACAACAAUGCCUGAGCCGAGGCUGCUGCAAAAAGGUGCCUUCCUCCCAAUAACCACUAGAGGGCGCCGCUCGCCUCUCCUCUCGGCGGUAAAUUGAUCAAGGCAGAAGCCCAAGAUAAUUAGUUUUAUGUAUAUAAUAUUCGAUCAUGAAAAUAUUCUUUGCCUUAUCCUUGGAUGGGGAGCCUGUAAUAUAUGUUAAAACGGUUAAUUUUUUUAUUAUCUCUCCGAAUUGUUUUAUACCAGCCCUGGCCCCCCAAAUUAUUGUAGCAUCCACUGGAAAUGCAGGCAAUGUAAGCAACGUUAAAUCUAAUUUUUUCCUGUGCAAAACCUAAUUAGCCGGUUUAAAAAAAAGAGAGAGAGAGAGAGGAAAGAAAGAAAGAGGUUAACGCCAGCGCCUGAGACGGUUUUUGUUUAAUAAUCCUAUUACUGACGGCUCAUCAUGUAUAAAAUGGUGCUGUAGGAUGCAAAAUGUUCCACUUGUUUGUUGGAGAAAUGUAUACACGCAGGAGAGGUAGGGGAGAGCGGGAUGUGGAAGGCACACAACUAAACACCUCAAAUGAACAAUGCCAACAUUGAAGCCCUCGGUUGGAGACUGCACAGUUGGAGAUCUUUGGUGCCAUUUUAGACAUCUUUGGAUUUCAUCAAUCAAACUGACUGCAAUUUUCCAUAAAAACCCCUGAAUUUGGGUCAGAAAGUGGGCAAAGCAGAUAAUGAUCAUUGGAGCUGUCUUAUGAGAUGAUAAAUAGAUAGCCUUUCAGAGCAACAAUGCAACAAAGUGCAUUCUCUUUCCCCACUCUUCGGUAGUUCAGCCCAAAGAGGUUUGAAUGCAAAGUCUCUAAACAUUUUCUCCAUGUUUUCCCAUGGUUUAGAAGAUGUCUUCACAGACUUGUCAAUAGUAACUUGACCCUUCCUCCCCUAGAGUUUUUUUUCCAGAAAAGUCUGCCUCUACUCCCCCAGAGAACUAAAACAAGUAACAGAAUAUCUUUUCUUAUCCCAAGAAUAAAGAAACUGUAGGUAGUUCAUAUAUAACAAAUACAUUCUUAUUCCAGAUCCCAAUGAUUCUUUACUGCUUUAGCUUGAUUUGAUGCUGGUUGUAUUUUACAAUGAAAACGAACAGCUGGACUUGCUCUUGAACUUGAGGGGUUCCUCUUAUAAAUAAGGGGAACCUAAAAAGUAGGCCUCAGCUAUAUGUAUAUCCAUUCUGUUGGAUGCAUUUUACAAAGGACAACAUUCCAAAAUGCUACAAACUAGACUGAUGUUCACUAGGAUAUUCACACACAGGAUUGGAACAGCUCAUUUAUACCACCUGAAUGAAAAUUGGUGUUCCUCCAUCAGCCAAUCAAGAGAAGAAACCAUAAUAGCACAGAAUUUGUUGAUCCACAGUUGCCAACUUUUGAAUUGGGUCCAGAUUCUGACCAGUAUCAAGUGAUAUCAUUUUACAUUGACACACCUGGUUGCAAAUCAUGGGCAAAAGAAAGUGAAACCCUUUUCUAGUUGUACCACAAAUUGCACAAGCAACAGGAUGCCUGGGGAAAAGAACAAGUGUAUUACUAUUUUGAAACUGAAAAACUAACAAAACCCCAUUAGAACAUAUUUUCUUUGUUUUUUAAAAACUAACUUUACAUUGGAUUUAGGUCUCUGUCUUUUAUAUAGCUUUAGCUUUCUGUGCAGGAAUGAGCAAGUAAUUAUGUUUAUCCUUAUGUUAUGAUAAACCUCUCCAGCUAGAAUGUUUGCAAAUAAAAAUGGUAUUAAAGAUACAA